Long non-coding RNA from Amborella trichopoda, 1268 nucleotides. RefSeq lists it as uncharacterized. NCBI's taxonomy places the organism in Eukaryota, Viridiplantae, Streptophyta, Magnoliopsida, Amborellales, Amborellaceae. The record is from RefSeq and is a predicted model, not a curated record.
GGUCUAAAUUGUUGAUUUUAAAUACCAUGGAACUUUACUCCUUCAAUAAUUCUCCAAUCUAGAAAAAUGAGUGGAUGAAAAACAGGAGGAGUACGAGAGGAAAGACAUGGCUGAGAGGGUUGUGUCCAAAUUGUUGGCCGUUCUAUAGACUCGGCAAGACAGGAGCCAAGCUCAUGCCGGAGGUGCAGCACAAGUAUGAAAAGAACUUUGAAAGAUUGGCGAUGACUCCCCCUCUGAGUUGGAGGGGGUAGUAGACUUAGAAGCCACACCAAUUGAUGACCAACCGAUUGCGAGAUCAAUUACGCAAAAGGUUCUUGAUUGCAUAAAUGAUGAAAAGAAUCAGGUUAUUGGUGUGUAUGGUAUGGGGGGGAUCUGGAAGACGGCUCUAAUUGAAAAUGUUCAUAAUCAGCUCUAAUCUAAUUCUAGUUUUGACAUUGUGAUAUGGGUUAAAGUGUCUCUUAAUCCAAAUAUGGGAUGCAUGCAGAGGUUUUGGGCCUCAAUUUGUCCAUGGUGAAUAUUGAGAAGGUGAAAGAUGAGCUGUUGAAGAUUCUAAGAACUAAUAGGUAUUUGCUGAUUUUGGAUGAUGUGUGGAAGAGAUUGGAACCGAAAGAAAUAGGAAUUCCCUGCCCAACUGUUAAGAAUAUGGAGGCCAACAUAAGCAUUGAAGUAAAGAAAUUACCAGAGCCAGAAGCAUGGAGUAAGCGGGUUCCCAUAUCACCUCUGCAUCAAAAAAACCCCAUGCCAAAAUCAUUCUAAAACAAUGUGAUGGUUUACCUCUUGCUAUUAUCGCAGUUAUACAGGCUAUGGCCAACAAAAAUACAAGUGGAAUAGUGGGAGGACGCCAUAUCCGAAUCAAGCAGUCUGCUUCAAAUUUAUGCGCCCUUCUUUAUUCCUCCCCUAUGAGUAGAAUGAUGAGCUCCUCAAGCUUUAGAGCAGUUUGCGGGGUUGAAAGUGAAGUGACGAAUGACUCCCAUGAAUUCGGCAAUGAGUUCAUCAAGUGAACCACCUGCAUUGGUUCUAUUGAUCGCAUGCCAGUUGCCUCCAUCUCUCGAACUAGAGCACGGAAAACAUGCACAUGAUCAGAUAUCUUUGCUCCCUUGUUCAUCUUCCACUCGUUAUAUUUCUUCAUGGCCAUAGCCUGCCUCAUCACAGUUGUAUCCGCAUAUUCUUUCUCGAGCCUCUGUGCAUUCCUUUCGCGGUCUUUAUUAACUCAUACUCAAAUACGUAUGAGUCAAUCAUUGAGAGCAUAUGAUGAUAUUCCUAGCACA